Molecule: long non-coding RNA, 290 nt
Organism: Juglans microcarpa x Juglans regia
Lineage: Eukaryota; Viridiplantae; Streptophyta; Magnoliopsida; Fagales; Juglandaceae
Exons: 3
Source: RefSeq, a predicted model, not a curated record
UUUUUGGGCCUGUGACUUUGGGUUGCGUGCGAUCUUGGUUCAAUUGGGUUCUUUUGCAGGACAGUUUGCACCAAAGCUAUGUAUGAUUAACUUGCCAAGAGAGAGAAAAAGCUGUUGUUCUUAGACCAAUCAAGGAGCUGAACUUGAAGAGCAAAGAGAAAAGGCUUAUGGAGUAUUCAUGGGAUAUAUUCUGUGGGGAGUCUGGUUGUUCAGACAGUGUUGGAAGGCCCUGCAGUUCUAUUUUUCAGUUUUUGAGCCAUUCCUCGUCGUGCAUUAAUCACAUAUUCAUA